Molecule: ribosomal RNA, 1372 nt
Filed under: uncultured bacterium
Lineage: Bacteria
Description: bacterial SSU rRNA
Rfam family: Bacterial small subunit ribosomal RNA
Source: RNAcentral
GAUGAACGCUGGCGGCGUGCCUAAUACAUGCAAGUCGAGCGAACGGACGAGAAGCUUGCUUCUCUGAUGUUAGCGGCGGACGGGUGAGUAACACGUGGAUAACCUACCUAUAAGACUGGGAUAACUUCGGGAAACCGGAGCUAAUACCGGAUAAUAUUUUGAACCGCAUGGUUCAAAAGUGAAAGACGGUCUUGCUGUCACUUAUAGAUGGAUCCGCGCUGCAUUAGCUAGUUGGUAAGGUAACGGCUUACCAAGGCAACGAUGCAUAGCCGACCUGAGAGGGUGAUCGGCCACACUGGAACUGAGACACGGUCCAGACUCCUACGGGAGGCAGCAGUAGGGAAUCUUCCGCAAUGGGCGAAAGCCUGACGGAGCAACGCCGCGUGAGUGACGAAGGUCUUCGGAUCGUAAAACUCUGUUAUUAGGGAAGAACAUAUGUGUAAGUAACUGUGCACAUCUUGACGGUACCUAAUCAGAAAGCCACGGCUAACUACGUGUCAGCAGCCGCGGUAAUACGUAGGUGGCAAGCGUUAUCCGGAAUUAUUGGGCGUAAAGCGCGCGUAGGCGGUUUUUUAAGUCUGAUGUGAAAGCCCACGGCUCAACCGUGGAGGGUCAUUGGAAACUGGAAAACUUGAGUGCAGAAGAGGAAAGUGGAAUUCCAUGUGUAGCGGUGAAAUGCGCAGAGAUAUGGAGGAAUACCAGUGGCGAAGGCGACUUUCUGGUCUGUAACUGACGCUGAUGUGCGAAAGCGUGGGGAUCAAACAGGAUUAGAUACCCUGGUAGUCCACGCCGUAAACGAUGAGUGCUAAGUGUUAGGGGGUUUCCGCCCCUUAGUGCUGCAGCUAACGCAUUAAGCACUCCGCCUGGGGAGUACGACCGCAAGGUUGAAACUCAAAGGAAUUGACGGGGACCCGCACAAGCGGUGGAGCAUGUGGUUUAAUUCGAAGCAACGCGAAGAACCUUACCAAAUCUUGACAUCCUUUGACAACUCUAGAGAUAGAGCCUUCCCCUUCGGGGGACAAAGUGACAGGUGGUGCAUGGUUGUCGUCAGCUCGUGUCGUGAGAUGUUGGGUUAAGUCCCGCAACGAGCGCAACCCUUAAGCUUAGUUGCCAUCAUUAAGUUGGGCACUCUAAGUUGACUGCCGGUGACAAACCGGAGGAAGGUGGGGAUGACGUCAAAUCAUCAUGCCCCUUAUGAUUUGGGCUACACACGUGCUACAAUGGACAAUACAAAGGGCAGCGAAACCGCGAGGUCAAGCAAAUCCCAUAAAGUUGUUCUCAGUUCGGAUUGUAGUCUGCAACUCGACUACAUGAAGCUGGAAUCGCUAGUAAUCGUAGAUCAGCAUGCUACGGUGAAUACGUUCCCGGGUCU